This 158-nucleotide non-coding RNA is filed under the name bovine gut metagenome. Its description in RNAcentral is "Lysine riboswitch". It matches the Rfam family "Lysine riboswitch aptamer". From Rfam's summary of the family: Riboswitches are metabolite binding domains within certain messenger RNAs that serve as precision sensors for their corresponding targets. The record is from RNAcentral.
UUUAAUAGAGGCGCGGCUUUUAUAAGUAGUAUGGGCGACGGUGCGGAAUCACCGCAGACGAAAGGAAAAGCUGCCGAAAUUCACAGCAGAUUCCGUUGCUGUGCGUUGGGACGCUGCAAAAUAUGCCGCGUACUGUCACUUUUUGUGGAGCGCUAUUC